This is a long non-coding RNA of Prosopis cineraria, 193 nucleotides long. RefSeq lists it as uncharacterized. Lineage: Eukaryota; Viridiplantae; Streptophyta; Magnoliopsida; Fabales; Fabaceae. The record is from RefSeq and is a predicted model, not a curated record. The transcript has 3 exons.
GGAAUAUUGGAAACUUGACAAAACUUCAACAUCUUCAACUUGGUGAAAAUAACAUAGAAGGUGAUAUACCACAAGGUAUUGGAAAACUGGAAAUGCUUCAAAAGCUAGAUCUAUUUCAUAAUAAUUUACAAGGUCAUAUACCAAAAGGCAUUGGAAACUUGACUACACUUCAAGCGUUAUAUCUCAGUGCCAA